GGGUGUAUAGCUCAAUUGGUAGAGCAAACGACUCUUAAUCGUUUGGUUCGGGGUUCGAGUCCCCGUACACCCACCA
This 76-nucleotide transfer RNA is filed under the name Candidatus Dojkabacteria bacterium. Its description in RNAcentral is "tRNA-Lys". It matches the Rfam family "tRNA". Rfam says of the family: Transfer RNA (tRNA) molecules are approximately 80 nucleotides in length. Their secondary structure includes four short double-helical elements and three loops (D, anti-codon, and T loops). Further hydrogen bonds mediate the characteristic L-shaped molecular structure. tRNAs have two regions of fundamental functional importance: the anti-codon, which is responsible for specific mRNA codon recognition, and the 3' end, to which the tRNAs corresponding amino acid is attached (by aminoacyl-tRNA synthetases). tRNAs cope with the degeneracy of the genetic code in two manners: having more than one tRNA (with a specific anti-codon) for a particular amino acid; and 'wobble' base-pairing, i.e. permitting non-standard base-pairing at the 3rd anti-codon position. The record is from RNAcentral.